AGUGAACGCUGGCGGUAGGCCUAACACAUGCAAGUCGAACGGCAGCACAGUAAGAGCUUGCUCUUACGGGUGGCGAGUGGCGGACGUGUGAGGAAUACAUCGGAAUCUACUUUUUCGUGGGGGAUAACGUAGGGAAACUUACGCUAAUACCGCAUACGACCUACGGGUGAAAGCAGGGGAUCUUCGGACCUUGCGCGAUUGAAUUAGCCGAUGUCGGAGUAGCUAGUUGGCGGGGUAAAGGCCCACCAAGUCGACGAUCCGUAGCUGGUCUGAGAGGAGGAUCAGCCACACUGGAACUGAGACACGGUCCAGACUCCUACGGGAGGCAGCAGUGGGGAAUAUUGGACAAUGGGCGCAAGCCUGAUACAGCCAUACCGAGUGGGUGAAGAAGGCCUUCGGGUUGUAAAGCCCUUUUGUGGGGAAAGAAAAGCAGCAGGUUAAUACCACGCUGUUCUGACGGUACCCAAAGAAUAAGCACCGGCUAACUUCGUG
RNAcentral lists this ribosomal RNA (492 nucleotides) under uncultured bacterium. RNAcentral describes it as "partial 16S ribosomal RNA". It matches the Rfam family "Bacterial small subunit ribosomal RNA", at positions 29 to 507 of the family's 1533-position model. The record is from RNAcentral.